Oncorhynchus tshawytscha (Chinook salmon) is the source of this 1289-nucleotide long non-coding RNA. The record is from Ensembl. Lineage: Eukaryota; Metazoa; Chordata; Actinopteri; Salmoniformes; Salmonidae.
CUCUUUCUGGUUGUGCCGGGUGGAGAGGAACCAGGCUCUGAGGGGUGGACCAGUCCUCUUUCUGGUUGUGCCGGGUGGAGAGGAACCAGGCUCUGAGGGGUGGACCAGUCCUCUUUCUGGUUGUGCCGGGUGGAGAGGAACCAGGCUCAGAGGGGUGGACCAGUCCUCAGAGAUUGGUGAUUAUAAGGAGUAUACGGCCAUUAAGGCCAGAUGGUUCUUCAAGAUGUUCAGACGAUCAUAGAUGACCAGCAGGGUGAGAUAAUAAUCACAGUGGUUAUAGAUCAGGGCUCUCCAAUAGGUGGAUGGACAUCUACCAGCAGCUCACAGCCCACCUAUGAGUAGCUCACCAUGUAGUUGGGCUCCUGAGUGGCGCAGCGAUCUAAGGCACAGAAUCUCAGUGCAAGAGGUGUUCACUACAGACCCUGGUUCGAUUCUAGGCUGUAUCACAACUGGCCAUGAUUGGGGAGUCCCAAAUUUGGUCACAUACGCAUGGUUAGCAGAUGUUAUUGCAGGUGUAGUGAAAUGCUUGUGCUUCUAGUUCCAACAGUGCAGUAAUAUCUUACAAUUUCACAACAUACCCAAUACACACACAUCUAAGUAAAGGACUGGAAUUAAGAAUAUAUAAAUAUAUGGUUGAGAAAUGUCAGAGCGGCAGAGACAGAAAGACUUUCCCCAUUUACCUGGUCAAUUAAAUGUUAACUGUAAAGUAGGCUUACCUGACAGAAAAGUCAUGAUUAUUUACAUCAAUUACGUGGUCAAUUAAAUGUUAACUGUAAAGUAGGCUUACCUGACAGAACGGUCAUGAUUAUUUACAUCAAUUACCUGGUCAAUUAAAUGUUAACUGUAAAGUAGGCUUACCUGACAGAACGGUCAUGAUUAUUUACAUCAAUUACGUGGUCAAUUAAAUGUUAACUGUGAAGUAGGCUUACCUGACACAACGGUCAUGAUUAUUUACAUCAAUUACCUGGUCAAUUAAAUGUUAACUGUAAAGUAGGCUUACCUGACACAACGGUCAUGAUUAUUUACAUCAAUUGGAUGGCCAUUGUUUUACAAACUCUACCAUGACGCGAGCUGCAGUCGUCCUGACAGAAGCAUCACUACAGCGACACAUCUCUCUCUGGCUCGAUGCGCAAUUAAAAGGGAAUUACACUCAAAAAAUCUAAAAUCGUUAUGUUUAGGUCUGAAGGUCUUCUGAUGUGAUUUAAGCAUAGACGUGGACUCAGAACAUUCAGUUGCUGUUUCUCUAUGAACAGUUGUACUAUUGAGAGUUAAAAACGGAGUCAAAACCA